ACGGAAGGCAGCAGUGGGGAAUAUUGCACAAUGGGCGCAAGCCUGAUGCAGCGAUGCCGCGUGAGUGAAGAAGGUUUUCGGAUUGUAAACCUCUGUCAUCGGGGACGAUAAUGACUGUACCCGAGAAGGAAGCUCCGGAUAACUACGUGCCAGCAGCCGCCGUAAUACGUAGGGAGCGAGCGUUAUCCGGAAUUACUGGGUGUAAAGGGAGUGUAGGCGGGAAUGUAAGUCAGAUGUGAAAUAUGCCGGCUCAACUGGCAGACUGCAUUUGAAACUGCGGUUCUUGAGUGCAGUAGAGGUAAGCGGAAUUCCUAGUGUAGCGGUGAAGUGCGUAGAUAUUAGGAGGAACACCAGUGGCGAAGGCGGCUUACUGGGCUUUAACUGACGCUGAGGCUCGAAAGCGUGGGAAGCAAACAGGAUUAGAUACCCUGGUA
Molecule: ribosomal RNA, 434 nt
Filed under: uncultured Ruminococcus sp.
Lineage: Bacteria; Bacillati; Bacillota; Clostridia; Eubacteriales; Oscillospiraceae
Description: partial 16S ribosomal RNA
Rfam family: Bacterial small subunit ribosomal RNA
Source: RNAcentral